GGAAAAGAAACCAACCGGGAUUCCCUGAGUAAGGGCGACUGAAACGGGAUCAGCCCAGCGCAUAACCUCGCGGUCCAUAGCUCGGCCGUCGAGGGGUGUUGCGUUUCGGUGGAUCCAUCCCGCUCGAGCCGCUUACCGCCUAAGUCAUUGCUUGAAAGCAGCCCCAAGGAGGGUGAUAGGCCCGUGUGGCGGCGCCUGUAAAAAGGGUGAAGGCGGCCCGGGCGGAGGGAUCUUACACACCGUAGAGUCGGGUUGCUUAAUACUGCAGCCCUAAGCAGGUGGUAAACUCCAUCUAAGGCUAAAUACAAUCACGAGACCGAUAGAGCACAAGUACCGUGAGGGAAAGCUGAAAAGGACUUUGAAGAGAGAGUUCAAGAGGA
This 380-nucleotide ribosomal RNA is filed under the name Plesionika heterocarpus. Its description in RNAcentral is "eukaryotic LSU rRNA". It matches the Rfam family "Eukaryotic large subunit ribosomal RNA", at positions 55 to 397 of the family's 3401-position model. Lineage: Eukaryota; Metazoa; Arthropoda; Malacostraca; Decapoda; Pandalidae. The record is from RNAcentral.